GAUGAACGCUGGCGGCGUGCCUAAUACAUGCAAGUCGAGCGAACAGACGAGGAGCUUGCUCCUCUGACGUUAGCGGCGGACGGGUGAGUAACACGUGGAUAACCUACCUAUAAGACUGGGAUAACUUCGGGAAACCGGAGCUAAUACCGGAUAAUAUACUGAACCGCAUGGUUCAAUAGUGAAAGACGGUUUUGCUGUCACUUAUAGAUGGAUCCGCGCCGCAUUAGCUAGUUGGUAAGGUAACGGCUUACCAAGGCAACGAUGCGUAGCCGACCUGAGAGGGUGAUCGGCCACACUGGAACUGAGACACGGUCCAGACUCCUACGGGAGGCAGCAGUAGGGAAUCUUCCGCAAUGGGCGAAUGCUUGACGGAGCAACGCCGCGUGAGUGAUGAAGGUCUUCGGAUCGUAAAACUCUGUUAUUAGGGAAGAACAAAUGUGUAAGUAACUAUGCACGUCUUGACGGUACCUAAUCAGAAAGCCACGGCUAACUACGUG
This 497-nucleotide ribosomal RNA is filed under the name uncultured bacterium. RNAcentral describes it as "partial 16S ribosomal RNA". It matches the Rfam family "Bacterial small subunit ribosomal RNA", at positions 28 to 507 of the family's 1533-position model. The record is from RNAcentral.